AGAGGAAGCGGCCACCCAACCCCCAACCGCAGCCCAGCCCCAGCCCGUUCCCCUCCCCACCCAUGCCGCUGCCGCCGGAGCCACCCACUGCCCCGCCUCCCUCACACAGACCUCGCCGCCGGCUAUGGCCUUCACCAACAGCCGCCGCUCCGACCCUCUCCCCCUCCCGUCCCCUUAUCACAAGACAAGAGAAGAGAAGAGGGAGGGAAAUCGAUCGCGACCGAGCAGGUCAAGCGGCGACAAUGGCGCGCCUAGACCCGCCAGUGCCGUCAUCGUCGAGCUGGGCUGGGCGGCACAGUUCGGUAGAGUAGGAAUGAGGGGGCGGUGGGACGCCUCCCCUGCUCGAGCUGCUCCAAGCGAGCGACCACAGCGCCGGAUCCACCUCCACAACCACCCACCGGCGGCCACGGAAGGUUAGGGACCUUCGUCCGGUCCAUGUGCUUCUUCUCCAUGGAGCUCCGACACCGCAGCAGCUGCAUCCAUGGAAGUGCCGACGCCAUGGACCUCGUCAAUCAUGGUUUGCUGCUACCGCCGACCGUUUCCCUGACAAGUUGACACCAAAGCCACCAUUGUCAAAGUCGCCGUUGGCCGGCGUUGCCACUGGUCGCUGCUCCACGCAUCUUGUCGGUGCUGCGAGGCGAUGCCAUCUGCAUCUGUUGCUGCAGCCUGGGAGGUGGCAGGGUCUCCAGGUGAUGCCCUCUUUGCUGCCCAAUCGUUGAAGAUGCCAUAGGACGAGAUCCUCUGCUGCUGCUGUGUCUCGUGGUUGAAGAAGGGGUGUGCUGGGAAGAGGAGGCAGUGUUGAGAGUGCUCGAUAUGGAACAGGACGAGCUUGGGCUGCAUCGGCUCUGGUUCUCAACCUCCAACAUGAGUCCCUUUUUUUCGUGCCUCGAACGCCACGAGUCAUCAUGGGCACUGCAGAUGCGGAGGAGUUUUUCCGGGGCGAUUUGCUUGUUCCCAGCCGCGCUGGUGUCAACUACCUCGAGCCACUAUGACCAUCCCAACCACGCUCACCCCCCUGAAUGAACUAUUUGUGGAUCUGCAAAGGGGGAUUCAAUUAAUUUUCAGUUGUAGAAAAGGGAGAAGGGGGAUUCAAUUAAUUUUCCUCCUCAAGAUCAAAGAAACAAAAUCUUUGUGGCGAUGAUAGAAGGGGUUCACGACUUCACGUUAAUACACAGACUAUUGGUAAGGGCAUUAAAACAUAUAUCUGGUGUGAAAUGGUCGUACAUGCUUGAUUAGAAUAUUUUCAAGUGUUGUAGGUGUACGGCUGUGGGGAAACAUUUUCAUGGUCUAAUUUUCUAAUUAAUGUAUGCACGAGACAUGAAUCUUGGAUUCUAAACUUUUUCCUCGAUGUUUGGGCUUCCUCUAAAUUUUCGUAUAUUGCACACAACACAACACAUAGAUUCAUGUCUUCCAUGCUUGCUGUCUUGUAACAAACAGAUGUUGGGAUGGAUACUAAUUUUCUAAAUGAUUUGAACUCAUGUUGUUUUCUAUUCUACUGUCAUUGGUUCAUCAUUCUGAACCAUUCAGUUGUUGGAACUCCGGCAUAUAUUGGUCCUGAAGUUAUGCUGAAGAAAGAAUAUGACGCAAGCUAUGAUCCAUCCUAUUUUGUGCUUUAAACGGUUUGUUGCAUACUCUGACAUCUGCUGCAUAACUUAAUUCUGUUUGCUCGGCCAUAAAAGCCUUACUUGAUUUCUGAAUCUUCCAUUCACCUUUCGUUGUCAUGAGUGGUGAAUGGUCUUGAGGAGUAACCAUUUAGAUACUGUAUGUUUUUUUGCUCAAACACGAUCUCGACAUUGAUAAUAGCAGAGAGAUAAUAUACGCCUUAUAAUCUUGUAACUGUAGAAAAAAGUAUAGAUAACCCCCAGAAGUAUCCCGUUUGGAUCACAUAACCCCCUCAUGUUUAAAACCGAGUUCUUAAUCCCCUGAACUAUUCUAAACCAGACAUAUCACCCCCUGGCACCCACUUAAGUAGUUUGGGACGAUGGUUUUGCAUAUGUGGCGCUUGGGCUGGGCCCAUCGACCGGCCACGUCGGACUGGGCCUGCUGGGUGCGGUGUAAAUGACGCCCUUGAGCAAGUUCGACCCAGACUCGGCCUCUUCGCCUCCCAAUUUAGCGUGAGCUUUUUAAUUUUUCAGCAGUGUACUACAGCAAAUUGUUGAUCAUUAUACUGUUCUGUAUGCAAUGCUAUGUUAAAGAAGGAAACUUUUGACAACAAAUAUUUUAUGACUGUACUAUUCUGUAUGGAAUGGUGUGUUACAAGAUAUUUUAUCAGAAGUGUACAUAUUAUUGGCAUCAAAUUCAGAAAUAGACAGCAAAUUUCCAUAGCAUUGAAGAUCUUAAAUUCACACAAUAAGUUCCAUGGAAUACUCAGGUUCAACCUGAUAAAAGCUACAGGUCUUUGACAUGCAAAACUCCACAAACGACACUUAAUUGUCAAGGAAUUUGAUGUUUCACAUCAAAUAAAAGCACACACUUCUAUCUGGUGUUACACAUCAACUACGUGACAUUGAAAAACAAUCUGGGCAUUCACUUUUUCCCAGUGAGAAGUCAUUCCAGCCUGUUAUUUCUUUGCACUUGCAUCUGCUGUGAGCUUGAAGAAGCCCUGUUGUGAAUGCCCAGAUUGUAUGUGCAUCUGCUGUGAGCUUGAAGAAGCACUUGCAUCAACUACGUAACAUGCAGAAGUAGUUGUGGUGUUCCUUCCACCUUAUGAAUUAGUCUGUGAAGAGGUGAAUAGUCGGAGCCCCAUGGAGCCAAACAAACAUUAUGUUCAGGCUACAGAUUAUAUUCAUACUACAGCUUGAGUCUGAAUUUGUAUUGAUACAUGAAAAUGUCAUGUGUGCCAAGAAAAGUAUGUUAGCUGUACAAUCAAUUUUGGUGUGCAUUUCUUAUUUAUUUUUGAGUCGGACGUGUGCAUUUCUAAUUAGAAGUAGAAGAAGAAAGAUGUGACACGGACUUCCUAAGAUCACAUACAUAUAGUUGAAUAGUAUAAUUAGAAUAAUAAUAAUAAAAUUCAAAAAGCUUAUUUAUUUUGGCUACAAAUUUGCCGGAGUGUUAUAGAUGUGCAUACCAUUUCGUGAAGGAAUAACAUAAAUGGUGGUCAGGACAAACGAAAAUUGAUCAUUUUUAAAGCUUCUUGGAGCAUCGAUUUUGUUUAAUAUUGUGCAAAUCAUCACAAAUAUUAUUUCUUCAUGAAAUUUUGCACAUAACCAAAAAAAAGUAAUUUUGUUGGGGAGCAGGAUUGCACAUCUGAUGUAAGAUAAAGAUAUAAGUACUGUUAGACAUGAGACCUACUCGCGCACAUGUCAAUCUCAACAUGCAUCUUGUUGUUCCGUGCAACGCAUGGGCAUCUUACUAGUGUUAUCCUAAAAUUGGCUAACUAUGGCUCAUAUUGUUUUCCCCAGGUAGCUCAUGGCGAGUGAUGCGUGAGCCGUCCUGAUCCUUUUGCUAUGUUAUUAUAUUUUAGCCAUGAAGGAUUUACUGCUUGUCAGUUCGUAGUGGUUCCGGCUGUUUGCUGAACUUUUGUUCUUGCUUGUGCUAUUUUUUUUACUGUUUAGAUGGCUCAAUUUACUUCCAAUUUUACUCUUGAGUUUUCCCAUGCAUGCAUACUCUUAUACCCCUCCUACUUGCUUGUUGGUUCUACGCUCUGCCUUUGUGAGGUGUAAUUAUUAAAUUUUGUUCAUAGUCGAGCAUUGGAUGAUAUUGUAUUUGUCAUGAUGUACAUGGUUCAUGAACUAUGCCAACCUGCA
Long non-coding RNA from Triticum aestivum (bread wheat), 3746 nucleotides. RefSeq lists it as uncharacterized. The record is from RefSeq and is a predicted model, not a curated record. The transcript has 5 exons. Lineage: Eukaryota; Viridiplantae; Streptophyta; Magnoliopsida; Poales; Poaceae.